This 441-nucleotide ribosomal RNA is filed under the name uncultured bacterium. RNAcentral describes it as "partial 16S ribosomal RNA". It matches the Rfam family "Bacterial small subunit ribosomal RNA", at positions 338 to 795 of the family's 1533-position model. The record is from RNAcentral.
CCUACGGGCGGCAGCAGUGGGGGAUAUUGCACAAUGGGGGAAACCCUGAUGCAGCGACGCCGCGUGGGUGAAGAAGUAUUUCGGUAUGUAAAGCCCUAUUAGCAGGGAGGAAAGAAGACGGUACCGUACUAAGAAGCCCCGGCUAACUACGUGCCAGCAGCCGCGGUACUACGGAGGGGGCGAGCGUUAUCCGGAUUUACUGGGGUUAAAGGGAGCGUAUACGGCAGGGCAAGCCAGGAGUGAAAGCCCGGGGCCCAACCCCGGGACUGCUCUUGGAACUGUGCGGCUGGAGUACGGCAGGGGCAGGCGGAAUUCCUGGUGUAGCGGUGAAAUGCGUAGAUAUCAGGAGGAACACCGGUGGCGAAGGCGGCCUGCUGGACCGCGACUGACGUUGAGGCUCGAAAGCGUGGGGAGCGAACAGGAUUAGAUACCCGGGUAGUC